UACAGAGGUCCCAAGCGUUGUUCGGAUUCAUUGGGCGUAAAGCGCGCGUAGGCGGCUCGGAAAGUCGGUCGUGAAAUGCCGGGGCUCAACCCCGGGACUGCGUCCGAUACUCUCGAGCUGGAGGCAGGUAGGGGAGAUCGGAAUUCCUGGUGUAGCGGUGAAAUGCGCAGAUAUCAGGAGGAACACCGGUGGCGAAGGCGGAUCUCUGGGCCUUGCCUGACGCUGAGGCGCGAAAGCUAGGGGAGCGAACAGG
This 253-nucleotide ribosomal RNA is filed under the name uncultured bacterium. RNAcentral's name for it is "partial 16S ribosomal RNA". It matches the Rfam family "Bacterial small subunit ribosomal RNA", at positions 524 to 776 of the family's 1533-position model. The record is from RNAcentral.